Molecule: transfer RNA, 66 nt
Filed under: Upogebia bowerbankii
Lineage: Eukaryota; Metazoa; Arthropoda; Malacostraca; Decapoda; Upogebiidae
Description: tRNA-His
Rfam family: tRNA
About the family: Transfer RNA (tRNA) molecules are approximately 80 nucleotides in length. Their secondary structure includes four short double-helical elements and three loops (D, anti-codon, and T loops).
Source: RNAcentral
GUCUAAAUAGUUUAAUAGAAAAUAUUGGUUUGUGGGAUCAAGGAUAUAAAUGUAUUAUUUUAGACU